RNAcentral lists this non-coding RNA (44 nucleotides) under Schistosoma margrebowiei. Lineage: Eukaryota; Metazoa; Platyhelminthes; Trematoda; Strigeidida; Schistosomatidae. The record is from RNAcentral.
UCUAACUGACGAGUCCCAGGUGGGAUGAAACGCGCGUCCUGAAA